This 271-nucleotide unclassified non-coding RNA is filed under the name Hevea brasiliensis (rubber tree). Lineage: Eukaryota; Viridiplantae; Streptophyta; Magnoliopsida; Malpighiales; Euphorbiaceae. The record is from RNAcentral.
GCCAUCCAAAAUAGCCACCUACAGCAAGAUUAUCAAUGCACAAGUUUAAAAAAUAACAAAAGUACUAUUAUACCAGAACAAAUGGUAGUUUGAAACUAAUAAAACUCAUUGGUAUUGCAACGAAAGGUCUGCUAUACGAGGAAUAUUUAUGCAUAGAAACAUGAAGACAUUCAAUCAUUUGUUUCUAGAUAUAAAAAACCAGAAAGGAUAGUAAUCUGCAAAGUUGUUAAUAAUUUGAGAAUUGUGAAUACUCACAUGCGGCUUCAAAUAU